GCCGCUGUAGCUCAGUUGGUAGAGCAAAGGACUGAAAAUCCUUGUGUCGAGGGUUCGAUUCCCUCUGGCGGCA
Molecule: transfer RNA, 73 nt
Filed under: Treponema sp.
Lineage: Bacteria; Pseudomonadati; Spirochaetota; Spirochaetia; Treponematales; Treponemataceae
Also listed under: 1 other name
Description: tRNA-Phe
Rfam family: tRNA
About the family: Transfer RNA (tRNA) molecules are approximately 80 nucleotides in length. Their secondary structure includes four short double-helical elements and three loops (D, anti-codon, and T loops).
Source: RNAcentral